Oreochromis niloticus (Nile tilapia) is the source of this 202-nucleotide long non-coding RNA. RefSeq lists it as uncharacterized. NCBI's taxonomy places the organism in Eukaryota, Metazoa, Chordata, Actinopteri, Cichliformes, Cichlidae. The record is from RefSeq and is a predicted model, not a curated record. The transcript is spliced from 3 exons.
ACAUAGUAACAUUUAAAUGUGUAUUUCUCAUUCUUUCUACAGGAUCACAAAGCUAUAUAGGGCAAACAACACCUCUAAAAAACACAAGGUUCAAUAAGUUGUCCAGAAAAACCUACAGAAGCGGGGGCAAUAAGACCAAGCCUUACGCUAGGCCUGAGACAGAGUACACAGUGUGUCAAGAAGAGGGGCCAUCCGGAAUAAC